Non-coding RNA from Aedes aegypti (yellow fever mosquito), 117 nucleotides. The record is from Rfam. Lineage: Eukaryota; Metazoa; Arthropoda; Insecta; Diptera; Culicidae.
UGCCCAGCAACUCCUAUCCCUACCUCCUCGCGGUACUGGCCGGGGUACGAGUAACCUUGGGGAACAUCGGGUAACCAACCCCCGGUGGGAACUUUGGUCGUAUGCUGACAGGGAAGG